This 1001-nucleotide ribosomal RNA is filed under the name Salmonella enterica subsp. enterica serovar Heidelberg. RNAcentral describes it as "bacterial SSU rRNA". It matches the Rfam family "Bacterial small subunit ribosomal RNA", at positions 1 to 991 of the family's 1533-position model. The record is from RNAcentral. RNAcentral also lists the same sequence under 12 other names. Lineage: Bacteria; Pseudomonadati; Pseudomonadota; Gammaproteobacteria; Enterobacterales; Enterobacteriaceae.
AAAUUGAAGAGUUUGAUCAUGGCUCAGAUUGAACGCUGGCGGCAGGCCUAACACAUGCAAGUCGAACGGUAACAGGAAGCAGCUUGCUGCUUUGCUGACGAGUGGCGGACGGGUGAGUAAUGUCUGGGAAACUGCCUGAUGGAGGGGGAUAACUACUGGAAACGGUGGCUAAUACCGCAUAACGUCGCAAGACCAAAGAGGGGGACCUUCGGGCCUCUUGCCAUCAGAUGUGCCCAGAUGGGAUUAGCUUGUUGGUGAGGUAACGGCUCACCAAGGCGACGAUCCCUAGCUGGUCUGAGAGGAUGACCAGCCACACUGGAACUGAGACACGGUCCAGACUCCUACGGGAGGCAGCAGUGGGGAAUAUUGCACAAUGGGCGCAAGCCUGAUGCAGCCAUGCCGCGUGUAUGAAGAAGGCCUUCGGGUUGUAAAGUACUUUCAGCGGGGAGGAAGGUGUUGUGGUUAAUAACCACAGCAAUUGACGUUACCCGCAGAAGAAGCACCGGCUAACUCCGUGCCAGCAGCCGCGGUAAUACGGAGGGUGCAAGCGUUAAUCGGAAUUACUGGGCGUAAAGCGCACGCAGGCGGUCUGUCAAGUCGGAUGUGAAAUCCCCGGGCUCAACCUGGGAACUGCAUUCGAAACUGGCAGGCUUGAGUCUUGUAGAGGGGGGUAGAAUUCCAGGUGUAGCGGUGAAAUGCGUAGAGAUCUGGAGGAAUACCGGUGGCGAAGGCGGCCCCCUGGACAAAGACUGACGCUCAGGUGCGAAAGCGUGGGGAGCAAACAGGAUUAGAUACCCUGGUAGUCCACGCCGUAAACGAUGUCUACUUGGAGGUUGUGCCCUUGAGGCGUGGCUUCCGGAGCUAACGCGUUAAGUAGACCGCCUGGGGAGUACGGCCGCAAGGUUAAAACUCAAAUGAAUUGACGGGGGCCCGCACAAGCGGUGGAGCAUGUGGUUUAAUUCGAUGCAACGCGAAGAACCUUACCUGGUCUUGACAUCCAC